Molecule: long non-coding RNA, 235 nt
Filed under: Fukomys damarensis (Damara mole-rat)
Lineage: Eukaryota; Metazoa; Chordata; Mammalia; Rodentia; Bathyergidae
Description: lncRNA (ENSFDAG00000030249.1)
Source: RNAcentral
UCAUGCUGUUAGUACGUGGGAGAUCUAAUAUUCAAACCUAAAACUGUCUUACAUCAAAACCUGUGUUCUUAAGAUUGAUGAAUCACCCCUUAGCAGACAUUGAAACCCAAAUGCCUCCAGAGGCAAGAUACUGACUAAGACUCCAGGAGCUGGCCCUACAGAGAAACAGUACAAAUCUUGGCCAAAAGUCAGAUGGGGGAAAAAAAACAGGUAAAUCAAGUAUUCCCUUUUUUUU